RNAcentral lists this transfer RNA (64 nucleotides) under Euparatettix bimaculatus. Its description in RNAcentral is "tRNA-Glu". It matches the Rfam family "tRNA". From Rfam's summary of the family: Transfer RNA (tRNA) molecules are approximately 80 nucleotides in length. The record is from RNAcentral. Lineage: Eukaryota; Metazoa; Arthropoda; Insecta; Orthoptera; Tetrigidae.
AUUUAUGUAGUUUAAAAAAAACAUUACACUUUCACUGUAAAAAUAAUAGUAAUAUUCUUAAAUA